Molecule: long non-coding RNA, 385 nt
Filed under: Bos taurus (domestic cattle)
Lineage: Eukaryota; Metazoa; Chordata; Mammalia; Artiodactyla; Bovidae
Description: long non-coding RNA NONBTAT019267
Source: RNAcentral
AACAACAUGAUUUCUAAACAUGUUAGAUCAUUAUUAUCUCCCUCUGAAACAUUCUUAAUAUGCAUUUAUAGGGUUAAGUCUAGAGUAAUAAAUGAUAAUCAGAUUAUUUCACAAGGCUGAGAAAAGGCUGAAUUAUGUAAAUAGGUACAGGUUUAUGCAUAUGGAUCAUAUUUUUGUUUGCAUUUUUAAAAAUUUUAGUUUGCAUUUUUAAAACUUCAAAGCUUGUUAUUUAUAUUCAUUUCUUUACUUCUGCCAUUAGCAAAAUGUCACCCUCCCCCUUGUUUAGUUCUGAAGGGUCUUGAAGUGGUGAAUGACAAGCUACUGAAUGCAUCCUCAGGCUCCCUGUGAUGUGUUUGUAAUAGAUGUAAAAUCAUAAAGUAUUAUG